GAUGAAGAACGUAGCGAAAUGCGAUAAGUAGUGUGAAUUGCAGAAUUCAGUGAAUCAUCGAAUCUUUGAACGCACAUUGCGCCCCUUGGUAUUCCAUGGGGCAUGCCUGUUCGAGCGUCAUUUGUACCUUCAAGCCUUGCUUGGUGUUGGGUGUUUGUCUCGCCUCUGCGCGCAGACUCGCCUCAAAACAAUUGGCAGCCGGCGUAUUGAUUUCGGAGCGCAGUACAUCUCGCGCUUUGCACUCAGAACGACGACGUCCAAAAGUACAUUUUUACACUCUUGACCUCGGAUCAGGUAGGGAUACCCGCUGAACUUAAGCAUAUCAAUAAGCGGAAGGA
RNAcentral lists this unclassified non-coding RNA (338 nucleotides) under soil metagenome. Its description in RNAcentral is "partial contains 5.8S ribosomal RNA, internal transcribed spacer 2, and large subunit ribosomal RNA". The stretch from base 1 to 120 matches the Rfam family "5.8S ribosomal RNA", at positions 35 to 154 of the family's 154-position model. The record is from RNAcentral.